Molecule: transfer RNA, 75 nt
Filed under: Caudoviricetes sp.
Lineage: Duplodnaviria; Heunggongvirae; Uroviricota; Caudoviricetes
Description: tRNA-Lys
Rfam family: tRNA
About the family: Transfer RNA (tRNA) molecules are approximately 80 nucleotides in length. Their secondary structure includes four short double-helical elements and three loops (D, anti-codon, and T loops).
Source: RNAcentral
UGCUGGGUAACUCAACGGUUAGAGUAGCGGACUUUUCACCCGCAAAGUACAGGUUCGAUUCCUGUCCCGGCUAUA